RNAcentral lists this ribosomal RNA (468 nucleotides) under uncultured bacterium. RNAcentral describes it as "partial 16S ribosomal RNA". It matches the Rfam family "Bacterial small subunit ribosomal RNA", at positions 28 to 507 of the family's 1533-position model. The record is from RNAcentral.
GACGAACGCUGGCGGCGUGCUUAACACAUGCAAGUCGAACGGAAAGGCCCUGCUUUUGUGGGGUGCUCGAGUGGCGAACGGGUGAGUAACACGUGAGUAACCUGCCCUUGACUUUGGGAUAACUUCAGGAAACUGGGGCUAAUACCGGAUAGGAGCUCCUGCUGCAUGGUGGGGGUUGGAAAGUUUCGGCGGUUGGGGAUGGACUCGCGGCUUAUCAGCUUGUUGGUGGGGUAGUGGCUUACCAAGGCUUUGACGGGUAGCCGGCCUGAGAGGGUGACCGGCCACAUUGGGACUGAGAUACGGCCCCGAAUCCUACGGGAGGGAGCAGUGGGGAAUAAUGCACAAUGGGCGGAAGGCUGAUGCAGCAAAGCCGCGUGCGGGAUGACGGCCUUCGGGUUGUAAACCGCUUUCGCCUGUGACGAAGCGUGAGUGACGGUAAUGGGUAAAGAAGCACCGGCUAACUACGUG